UACGUAGGGGGCAAGCGUUGUCCGGAUUUAUUGGGCGUAAAGAGCGUGUAGGCGGCCAUACAGGUCAGCUGUGAAAACUCGAGGCUCAACCUCGAGACGUCGGUUGAAACCGUAUGGCUAGAGUCCGGAAGAGGGGGGCGGAAUUCCCAGUGUAGCGGUGAAAUGCGUAGAUAUCGGGAAGAACACCCGUGGCGAAGGCGGGUCUCUGGGCCGUAACUGACGCUGAGGAGCGAAAGCGUGGGGAGCGAACAGG
Molecule: ribosomal RNA, 253 nt
Filed under: uncultured bacterium
Lineage: Bacteria
Description: partial 16S ribosomal RNA
Rfam family: Bacterial small subunit ribosomal RNA
Source: RNAcentral